RNAcentral lists this ribosomal RNA (673 nucleotides) under Dendrogramma enigmatica. RNAcentral describes it as "partial 16S ribosomal RNA". It matches the Rfam family "Bacterial large subunit ribosomal RNA", at positions 1814 to 2673 of the family's 2925-position model. Lineage: Eukaryota; Metazoa; Cnidaria; Hydrozoa; Siphonophorae; Rhodaliidae. The record is from RNAcentral.
CAUAGCUAAGAAUAAAACUCAAAGUGAAACCUGCCCAGUGAUUUUUAAAAUAAAAUAUUAAAUUAUUUUAAUAAAAUUAAACGGACGCAGUAUCUUGACUGUGGUAAUGUAGCAUAAUCAUUUGCCAUUUAAUUAAUGGAUAGUAUGAAAGGUUAAACGAAUAUUUCACUAUCUCAAAAAAAAACACAUAUAAAAUUGAAAUAAUAGUUAAGAUGCUAUUUAAAAUUGUAAGACGAAAAGACCCUAUAGAGCUUAACUAAAAUCUUUUUAUUUUCUUUAUUUUAAUAAAAAUUAUAAUUAAAAAGAUGGUUAGUUUAGUUGGGGCGACUACCUUUUAUUAAUAACAAAGGUAAACAAAAUUAAUAAAAUAAUUUAUUGUAUAAUUUAUAAAUUUAACAAUUAUAAAAAUAGGUUAUAUUGACCCGUUACUUAUAAAACAAAAUAAUAACGAUUAAUAAAUAAAAGCUACCUUAGGGAUAACAGAAUAAUUUUAAUUUAGAGAUCCUAUCGAAGUUAAAGUUUGUCACCUCUAUGUUGAAUUAAGAUAUCCAAAUAAUGCAGAAGUUAUAAAGGGUAGGUCUGUUCGACCUUAAAAAUCUUACAUGAUUGGCCCCCUUUCCCCAAAAAAAAAAUUAUUUUUUUAAUUUAAGGGGUUUGGAAUCCGAAGGGAAUU